RNAcentral lists this ribosomal RNA (253 nucleotides) under uncultured bacterium. Its description in RNAcentral is "partial 16S ribosomal RNA". It matches the Rfam family "Bacterial small subunit ribosomal RNA", at positions 524 to 776 of the family's 1533-position model. The record is from RNAcentral.
UACGGAGGGAGCUAGCGUUGUUCGGAAUUACUGGGCGUAAAGCGCACGUAGGCGGCUAUUCAAGUCAGAGGUGAAAGCCCAGGGCUCAACCCUGGAACUGCCUUUGAAACUAGAUAGCUAGAAUUCUGGAGAGGUCAGUGGAAUUCCGAGUGUAGAGGUGAAAUUCGUAGAUAUUCGGAAGAACACCAGUGGCGAAGGCGACUGACUGGACAGAUAUUGACGCUGAGGUGCGAAAGCGUGGGGAGCAAACAGG